This 211-nucleotide unclassified non-coding RNA is filed under the name uncultured Agaricus. Its description in RNAcentral is "sequence contains ITS2". The record is from RNAcentral. Lineage: Eukaryota; Fungi; Basidiomycota; Agaricomycetes; Agaricales; Agaricaceae.
AAUUCUCAACUCUCUGAUACUGUUUUGUAUAAGAGAGCUUGGAUUGUGGAGGUUUGCUGGCCACUUGUUUGAGGUCAGCUCCUCUGAAAUGCAUUAGCGGAACUGUUUGCGAUCUGCCACAAGUGUGAUAAAUUAUCUACACUGGCAAGGGGGAUUGCUCUCUGUUGUUCAGCUUCUAAUUGUCUCUACUUUGUAGGACUACAUCUUGAAU